Molecule: ribosomal RNA, 611 nt
Filed under: Bergeyella zoohelcum
Lineage: Bacteria; Pseudomonadati; Bacteroidota; Flavobacteriia; Flavobacteriales; Weeksellaceae
Description: bacterial SSU rRNA
Rfam family: Bacterial small subunit ribosomal RNA
Source: RNAcentral
AGGGUGGACAUUUGUGGGUUAGCUUGCUAACUNAUAAUGAGAGCGGCGUACGGGUGCGUAACACGUGUGCAACCUGCCUNUAUCUGGGGGAUAGCCUUUCGAAAGGAAGAUUAAUACCCCAUNAUAUAUUGAUUGGCAUCAGUUNAUAUUGAAAGCUCCGGCGGAUAGAGAUGGGCACGCGUAAGAUUAGCUAGUUGGUGAGGUAACGGCUCACCAAGGCUGCGAUCUUUAGGGGGCCUGAGAGGGUGAUCCCCCACACUGGUACUGAGACACGGACCAUGACUCACUACGGGAGGCAGCAGUGAGAGAAUAUUGGACAAUGGGUGAGAGCCUGAUCCAGCCAUCCCGCGUGAAGGACUAAGGACCUAUGGUUUGUAAACUUCUUUUAUACAGGGAUAAACCUACUCUCGUGAGGGUAGCUGAAGGUACUGUAUGAAUAAGCACCGGCUAACUCCGUGCCAGCAGCCGCGGUAAUACGGAGGGUGCAAGCGUUAUCCGGAUUUAUUGGGUUUAAAGGGUCCGUANGCGGGUCGAUNAGUCAGUGGUGAAAGCCUGCAGCUUAACUUGUAGAACUGCCGUUGAUACUGUCAGGUCUUGAGUGUAUUUGAGGU